Molecule: ribosomal RNA, 195 nt
Filed under: uncultured bacterium
Lineage: Bacteria
Description: partial 16S ribosomal RNA
Rfam family: Bacterial small subunit ribosomal RNA
Source: RNAcentral
ACGCUCGACACCUACGGGAGCAGCAGUGGGGAAUAUUGCACAAUGGGGGAAACCCUGAUGCAGCGACGCCGCGUGGAGGAAGAAGGUCUUCGGAUUGUAAACUCCUGUUGUUGGGGAAAAAGAGGAUGGUACCCAACAAGGAAGUGACGGCUAACUACGUCGCGCAGCGCGGUAAUCUGAGCGGGCUGGCAAGGC